Long non-coding RNA from Lontra canadensis (Northern American river otter), 594 nucleotides. RefSeq lists it as uncharacterized. The record is from RefSeq and is a predicted model, not a curated record. NCBI's taxonomy places the organism in Eukaryota, Metazoa, Chordata, Mammalia, Carnivora, Mustelidae. The transcript is spliced from 4 exons.
CGGCGAGCGCAGCGUGGGGUCUCCUGCCUCAGCUCUGGGCGGUUUCCCGGCGUCAGUUAGACAAUCUGCCUGCGGCGUCGCGGACAGCCUCCUGGAAAAGGCGGAGUGGCCUGGCCGGGGAGGGGCAGGGCUCCCCUUUGCUUCCCAGGAACUGUCAGUACUUCGUAACGCAUAAUCAGGAAGCUGAAGCUGCUAUGGAAAGAAUGGAUUAGAAGACCAGUACAGAAGCAGGGAGACCAGAAGAGAGACUGCUACAAUGAGCCAGAUGAGAAAAUGUGCUGGCCUGAGCUAAGAGUCAUGGCAGUGGGUAUGCAGAAAUGGCUUUGAACACAAUGUAUAUUUUGGAAGAAGUACCAACAAGACUACUUCACUCAUGUUGAGGUCUUGUGUAAGGUGUUGUGGUUACCAAGGUGGAGGCCCCCCAUCUGGUAGAGAAGGCAGACAUGAACAUGUGUGAAGGCCAUGUGCAGUGGGGUCAGUGCUGUGACAGAGCUGAGCCUUCGGAUGAGACCGUGACCCCAGCUACAAGUUGACCGCAACCUUACAGAAGACCUUCAGUCGGAAGCUCCCAGCUAAGCCAUGCCUGGAUUCCUG